This 239-nucleotide unclassified non-coding RNA is filed under the name Hevea brasiliensis (rubber tree). Lineage: Eukaryota; Viridiplantae; Streptophyta; Magnoliopsida; Malpighiales; Euphorbiaceae. The record is from RNAcentral.
AAGUUGGUGAUAGCCGGAGUCAUGAGCAAGGACAUGAGCUUUGGCAAGCCUCCAAAGCCGAGCACCUGUGGAAUGCCAAGUUGGUAAAUACACUUGCUUCCACUGUGGUUUUCCGUCCAUGGGUGGGCUAGUAAGCUCGAUGGCCAGCGGCCGCAAUGUAGCAGCUGGUGUUAAGAAGAAGAGUGUCCUAGACCCAUAUAGCGUGGUGCUUUCAGUCUGUCUUACUUUACUCACAAAUG